UGGCCCCUUUCUCCAACCUUGGUGGGACAGUUUCUGCGUUGUAUUAGGUGAGAGACGGGAACGGGGAGACAUAUCAGACAGAAGAGAGCAGCGGUGGCGGAGACACUGACAGAUUUGACAUCCGCAGCAGCACGGACGGUGUGGACUAGCGGAACCUUGAGCAAGGUGCCACUUGGCUGAGUGGAAGGACGGAAGCCAUACGUGUACACAUAUCUACGUAUUCACUGUGAGCCGCCUAAAUACUUGCGCAGGAAGCGUUGCAACCUGAAGCGCCUGAGGGGAUCCAGACUGUGCGCCUAUGCUGAUUCGCAUUGAGCGCUCGACAUCUUCUCAUUCUCGUUGAAGACACUCUUGCGCUAUCCUCUUCCCUCUCUUUGCGUGCUGUGCCGGUGCGCUGCUCGCCGUCUGUCUGUCUGUCGUGUGCGUGUGGGCAUAUUGCCCGUGUACGGAGCCUACACAUACGUACACACACGUACAUGCGCCACCUCCUCUACUUCGUCUGUAUUACGUUCUCGCGUCUCUCUUUAUUUUCGCUUGUGUUCUCUUGGUGGAGAGAGACCGACCGACUGAGUGCCACGAUCUCGCACCGAGACGCGGCAUCCAGUGGCUUGCUUCCGUUGUUCUCCUCAUUGCACGCGGCUGGUGGCGGCGCAAGUCGGAAGUCCCCCGCCUCCCUCCUGUCUCUCUUGCUUUUUCCUGUUUCUUCUGUGCUCUUCUCUUCGCUCUCCUGCCGGAGCGUUCUUGGACUUCUCGGCUGCCCUUCCUCGCCGUUGCUGUGGACUCUGGCCCGUAGAUUCCCGGUGUAUCUGUGCCCGUCGACGCUCACAUACGUGGGCUGCCUUGUCUUGGUGGAAGGUCGGGGUGUCUGUGCCCGAGCGCGCCGUUCUCUUUGCCGCCUUUCCUCGCCCCUCCCCCUCCCCCGUCCUUCUCUCUGUGGUUUCACUGCUUUGCGCGUGUGCGGUGCCUCGCGUCGUCUCUUCUCUCACUCUCUCGUGAGCUCACAUCCACGUCUAUUUCUCUACACGGGCAUUUAUAGCGGGGCUCUCUCUCUCUCUUGAUUUACAUCUAUAUACGUAAUAGCGGUAUAUAUAUAUAUAUUGUGUGUGUGUGUGUGGUUAUUGGAGUGGAUUGGAUUCGUGUGCGUGUGUGUGGGCGGAAAGGGGGAGGGAGGGCAUAGGCCUUUUGAAUUGCUCAUCACCUGCAUUCCACUCCUUGUCUCUGUCUGUCUGUCUUCUACUCCACACAACCACAGCCAGACACAAUGACCAAGAACCGACGGCACGACAUCGUGAAGCCCUCCAAGUAUAAGACCUCCAUGUGCACGUUCUUUCGCAGCGAGGAGGGCUGCCCGUUCGGUGAGAAGUGCGCCUUCGCCCACGGAGAGGAUGAGCUGCGGCCGGAGCCGAAAGACACGGCCCCACUGCCGGAAGCGGCGACGGGAGAGGCAGUGACGGCUGCGGCGGCCACGUUGUUGACAUCCGAAUCGCCCCACUCGGAGCACUUUGAUACGAGAGCCGCUUCGGGAGAUGGGCAGCACAACGAUGCACCAGCACAGCAGCUGCAGCACGAACCAUCUGCUUCCACGCCCGCCAUCGCAGGAGCGAAGCGGAAGACAAAGAAAGGAAGUUUGGAUUCGUCUUCGGCAUCAACUGGAAGCGCUCACGGCUUUCCUGGCGGCGGCCCCGGUGGCAGCGGCAGCGGCAGCGGCAGCGCAGCCAGAGGAGACGCUCCCACCACUCGAGGGCGCGCCUUGCCGAAUCGCCGUCAGCAGCUACCCCCGCCGCCUCUGCCGGGGCACGGGGCAAUGCCGUCGACCACGUUUGGCCUCACUGCUCCCCCACCGCCGCUCCCGCAACCGACGCCUCCUUCAUUUGGCCUUUCCGGUGACUUCGGCGGCCUCGCGUACGCGGGCAUGCCGGCGGUGAUGCCGGGGAUGCCCUAUUACAUCCCUGCGAUGGGCCACCAUCCGUUCUCCGCCAUCAAUAAUAAUCAGCACGCCCUCAAUGCGGCCCCUGUAAUGCACGGCUCUACGUCGUACCCGACCUUGCAACAUGCCAUGCAGCUACCACCACCACCACCGCCGCCACUGGCGACCGCGUCAAGCUCCUCUGCGCCGCUAAGUGUGACAAGACGGACCAACGGCGUCGCCGCUGCCGAUGCGCUGCCGAGCGAUGAUGCGAAGCACCGCCUGCGUCAGCCUACGCGACACGUGGUGAGUAGCAAUACCAUGGCACACAGCACCGGCCGACACCCAAUCAACGCAUCGGCGACGGCGCCGGAUGACGUGGCCACGCCGCAGUACCUCUACAACCUCAUGGCCGCAGCCGGUGCACUCCUUAACUCCUCUCCGGAACUGGCGAGCAACAGUCAACCGAACCCUAGCGUUGAGCAGCCGGCGCAGCCUCGCCUGAUUGUGGUUCCCCACCCUUCAGGCUCGGGUGUCUGCAUGGUGCCGAGCACCGUCAUGAGCUACCCACACUCAGACCCUCAGAGCUUCGCGGCCUUUGGCGGUGUUGCUGCAGCUUCCUCACCACGCCACUCAACGGCGUCGAUGCCAGGCAGUAGCGACAGCGGCCUUCGUAGCCCGCAUCCCACGCCGACGACGACGGCCAGCAACAGCGCGGCUGCAGCGCAGUUUCCUCCGCCGGACUUCGUGGCAGCGACGCCGGCGCCGGUGACUGUUGAGCAACUCCCACUGAGCAGUACGAGCCAUGGCCAGAGCGGCAGCGGCAGCCGCAGCAGCAAGGUGAUGGGCGACAGCCUGUGGGGCCCGGCGGAGGGGACCAUGAACCCCCUUACCUCGUCCCUGGCCAGCCGCUCCGGCGCUAACACUUCGUCUACUGAAGAACACGGCAGCAGUUCAGGGGACUAUAAUGCCAUCUUGUCAGGCCUCGGCAUCGGUGGCUCUUCGUACACAACCAUCCCCCUUGACCGGCUCAUGCGCCAGUGCAGCGCUAGCAGUAAUGAGGACGACUUCGUGGGAGGAGACUUUGACUGGACAGGCGCGGUGGAGCGCUGGCUGCAGACGGCUCGCGAGGAUGGCAUGGCGCCCGAGACGGCGCCGGCUAAUGCCGACGAUACGCCGACCACCGCCGCUGCGGCCGUAGCGACGGCUGAGAAAACCACCGCCUCCACUCCUGGGGCGACACUCGCUGCGGCGAAGAACUUGGAAACGGUAGCUGAAACUUACCACCUGCAGAGCGGCUGCUCCGUUAUGGCUGCACUGAACAGCAAUCCAGUCCUCGUGGACAUGGGAAUAGAGAGCACCGAGGCCAACGCGUCCUUGCCAGCGCCGGGGUCGUCAGCGACGGAGGCGAAGCGCAGACCGAUCGCCGCGGUGUGCCAGGUGUCACGGGCGGCGGGUGGCAAGCCUUCGCAACCGCAGCGCCGCGCUCCCGUCACGAAGAACCAGUUCAAGAGCUCGUGCGCGGCAGAGGCGGACUCCGGCGCGGUGCUGCUCUACUGCGCUGAGAAGAAUACAUUUGUGUACAUUCCCUCUGGUGGCUCAGGAGCGGCUGUGGCGGUGACCCCAGGCAGGCGUCGUGGGCAAGCUGCUGCGGCUGCUGCGACGACGACAGGUAGUGUUGCGCUGCCCCAGAGCGAGGAGAAGUGGCCCGCUACGACUGUAAAGGCCGUGCCGGCGCUCGGUCGAUCCCAGGAUAGCCUCAACACGCCUUGCUGCGACGGCAGCCUCGGCAUCGAUGUGCGCUUCGUCCCUGGUCGCAAGAAGCGCUCCGUGCUGGAGGAAGUGACCGAGGAAGAAGCGGAAUAUUGCAUCUAGGGCCUGCGUGCGUGUGGGCAUGUGCCGUUCCGUGCCAUACUGUGCAGUGCUGCACCUUCAACGCUGCGGUGGACAGCGAUGGGUGUGAGCAACAAAAAUAACAAGGAGAGCACGAAAAGAGCGGUGUGGCCGGCUGGCGCGUCCAUUGCACCUUUUGCAUAGACGGUGACUGAUGCGUGCGCGCCUGCGCACAUCCAUACCGACACAGACGUUCACACGCCCGCAUGCAACAAGACUGCCCGCCACUAACGGAGCUCACGGCAACGGCAGCUGGAUGCGCUGAGCAGCUCAUAUUUGUACUUCCAUGCCUUUUCUCCGUACUCUCAAUCUCAGAGAACGCAGGAGGCGGGAGGCGGACUGUGAGCCCGAUGGCGGCUGCUUACUGCGAGUGUGAGCCGUAGUGUGGAGGCGUUGGGGCGAGAGUGGCGAGGAGGUGAGAGGCAGAGUGCUGGAUUGCUCACACGGAACGGCGCCGCUGCUCUCCUUUUCAAUCGCUCGAUUUCCUUGCCUGCGCCUGGCUCUGACAUCUCCGUCCACGCCCACACCUUGGUCUGCCUUGCAGACGUGACCGCACACUUGCAUGCACGUGUAGACGCAUACGUGUCAGUGUACGGCUGCCGCUUCGCGCGCUCUCUCCUCUCUCGCUCUCCUCCGCGUGUCCGUUACACAGCCGGUGCUCUGGUAUAGUUGCUGCGCUUGUUGUUUCUGACGUUGUGGCAGCACCAGUGCACGAGUCCCCACCCCUCGACCUAUGUUCUAGGUUUGUGUGCUUCGGCAUCUUCGCCCUUCAAACCAUUUCUUUUCCUUCUCCGGUGUUGCUGUUGAGUGCCUUUUCUCACUUCUUUUCGUUUGUUGGAUGGUGGAUGAGCGUACAUGUAUGUGUAUGCGUGCAUCUAUGCGGGUGUGUGUAUAGGUGUGUGUGUGCGUGCGUGUGCGUGCGUGCAUGCAACUAUUCCACCUCAGCCCCUUUCCUCGCCUCCUACUCAUCCCUGUAUGCGUGUGCUUGUCGGCCUCUCUCUGUCUACAUCACAGAAGCGUCUCUUGAAGAGAAAGUGCCCUAUACUGUUUUCAUCGCCUCCAGCUUCGUACGGUGACAUUGCUCUCCCUGUCGCUUGCUGCUGCUUUAGCCCACUGAACUACUGCCCUAGUUCCAGCUCGCGUAAUCGAUGUCAGUGAUGAUGAUCGCGGCGCAUAAAAGGUCGCCAUGAUGGCAGUGGCCGCUGAAUGAACGGUAAUCCAGUCUACGCCUCUGUUGACUUCACGACUGCCCCACACGCAUGCAC
RNAcentral lists this unclassified non-coding RNA (5064 nucleotides) under Leishmania donovani. RNAcentral describes it as "gene:LdHU3.15.0220(CDS-product:zinc_finger_(CCCH_ type)_protein_putative)". Lineage: Eukaryota; Euglenozoa; Kinetoplastea; Trypanosomatida; Trypanosomatidae. The record is from RNAcentral.